GGACCCGCACAAGCAGCGGAGCGUGUGGUUUAAUUCGAGGCUACGCGAAGAACCUUACCAGGGUUUGACAUGCAAGUAGUAGUGAAGCGAAAGCGGAACGACCCUUCGGGGAGCUUGCACAGGUGAUGCAUGGCUGUCGUCAGCUCGUGCCGUGAGGUGUUUGGUUAAGUCCACUAACGAGCGCAACCCUUAGCGUCAGUUACAAGUGUCUGGCGCGACUGCCGGUAUUAAGCCGGAGGAAGGUGGGGAUGAUGUCAAGUCAGCAUGUCCUUUAUACCCUGGGCUACACACACGCUACAAUGGCCAGCACAGUGGGUUGCCAAGCCGCGAGGCGGAGCCAAUCCUAAAAAACUGGUCUCAGUUCGGAUUGUAGGCUGCAACCCGCCUACAUGAAGUCGGAGUUGCUAGUAACCGCAGGACAGCUAUACUGCGGUGAAUACGUUCCCGGGUCUU
RNAcentral lists this ribosomal RNA (453 nucleotides) under uncultured bacterium. RNAcentral's name for it is "bacterial SSU rRNA". It matches the Rfam family "Bacterial small subunit ribosomal RNA", at positions 917 to 1382 of the family's 1533-position model. The record is from RNAcentral.